AGUGAACGCUGGCGGUAGGCCUAACACAUGCAAGUCGAACGGCGGCACAGGAGAGCUUGCUCUCUGGGUGGCGAGUGGCGGACGGGUGAGGAAUACAUCGGAAUCUACUCUGUCGUGGGGGAUAACGUAGGGAAACUUACGCUAAUAUCGCAUACGACCUACGGGUGAAAGCAGGGGACCUUCGGGCCUUGCGCGAUUGAAUGAGCCGAUGUCGGAUUAGCUAGUUGGCGGGGUAAAGGCCCACCAAGGCGACGAUCCGUAGCUGGUCUGAGAGGAUGAUCAGCCACACUGGAACUGAGACACGGUCCAGACUCCUACGGGAGGCAGCAGUGGGGAAUAUUGGACAAUGGGCGCAAGCCUGACCCAGCCAUACCGCGUGGGUGAAGAAGGCCUUCGGGUUGUAAAGCCCUUUUGUUGGGAAAGAGAUCCAGCUGGCUAAUACCCGGUUGGGAUGACGGUACCCAAAGAAUAAGCACCGGCUAACUUCGUGCCAGCCGCCGCCGUAA
This 506-nucleotide ribosomal RNA is filed under the name uncultured bacterium. RNAcentral's name for it is "partial 16S ribosomal RNA". It matches the Rfam family "Bacterial small subunit ribosomal RNA", at positions 29 to 523 of the family's 1533-position model. The record is from RNAcentral.